This 419-nucleotide unclassified non-coding RNA is filed under the name Hevea brasiliensis (rubber tree). The record is from RNAcentral. Lineage: Eukaryota; Viridiplantae; Streptophyta; Magnoliopsida; Malpighiales; Euphorbiaceae.
CAAAUCAAUGUCUUAAUAGAAAAUUUAUCACCCAACACCUGAGUAAGCUAUGCUCUCUCCUGACUGAAACAGAAAAUUCCAAACCUUAAAAAAGCAUCUACUAAUAACAACAGUAAUUAGAGCUGCAAAUGGAAAACUCAUAACGACCCGACGACAGUACAUUUAGAAGAGAAACGUUUUAUAUAUACUAGAAAGCAGCUGCACAACUUCUGAACCCUUCACCAGUAUCUUCUUUUAAUCAUUUGCCAAUGCCGAGAAACCAUGCCACAAGAACCUGUCAAGCUGCUGAGUAUCCUCCAAAGUGAAGCAGCAUGAGCAGGCAAUUGUCAAGCAAACCUAAUACAUGAGAUGUCCCCAUGCUCCAGUCAACAUUUUUGGAGAAAACGAAGGGCCACAGAGAAGGCUGCAGCACCACAAAC